RNAcentral lists this ribosomal RNA (301 nucleotides) under uncultured bacterium. RNAcentral describes it as "partial 16S ribosomal RNA". It matches the Rfam family "Bacterial small subunit ribosomal RNA", at positions 509 to 807 of the family's 1533-position model. The record is from RNAcentral.
CAGCAGCCACGGUAAAACGAAGGGGGCUAGCGUUGCUCGGAAUGACUGGGCGUAAGGGGCGCGUAGGCGGCGGCCAAAGUCAGGCGUGAAAUUCCCGGGCUUAGCCUGGGAACUGCAUUUGUGACUGGCAAGCUAGAGUAUGGCAGAGGGGGGUGGAAUUCCGCGUGUAGCAGUGAAAUGCGUAGAUAUGCGGAGGAACACCGAUGGCGAAGGCAGCCCCCUGGGCCAAUACUGACGCUCAUGCACGAAAGCGUGGGGAGCAAACAGGAUUAGAUACCCGCGUAGUCCCUGUCUCUUAUAC